AUUGAACGCUGGCGGCAUGCCUUACACAUGCAAGUCGAACGGCAGCACGGGGGCAACCCUGGUGGCGAGUGGCGAACGGGUGAGUAAUAUAUCGGAACGUACCCUGGAGUGGGGGAUAACGUAGCGAAAGUUACGCUAAUACCGCAUACGAUCUAAGGAUGAAAGUGGGGGAUCGCAAGACCUCAUGCUCCUGGAGCGGCCGAUAUCUGAUUAGCUAGUUGGUGGGGUAAAGGCCUACCAAGGCAUCGAUCAGUAGCUGGUCUGAGAGGACGACCAGCCACACUGGGACUGAGACACGGCCCAGACUCCUACGGGAGGCAGCAGUGGGGAAUUUUGGACAAUGGGGGCAACCCUGAUCCAGCAAUGCCGCGUGAGUGAAGAAGGCCU
RNAcentral lists this ribosomal RNA (387 nucleotides) under uncultured bacterium. RNAcentral describes it as "bacterial SSU rRNA". It matches the Rfam family "Bacterial small subunit ribosomal RNA", at positions 30 to 417 of the family's 1533-position model. The record is from RNAcentral.